UACGAAGGGGGCUAGCGUUGCUCGGAAUGACUGGGCGUAAAGGGCGCGUAGGCGGAUGGCACAGUCGAAGAUGUGAAAUUCCCGGGCUUAACCUGGGGGCUGCAUUUGAUACGUGUGAUCUAGAGUGAGGAAGAGGGUCGUGGAAUUCCCAGUGUAGAGGUGAAAUUCGUAGAUAUUCGCAAGAACACCAGUGGCGAAGGCGGCUUACUGGUCCGGUUUCUGAGCCGCUGAGGCACGAAAGCGUGGGGAGCAAACAGGG
This 259-nucleotide ribosomal RNA is filed under the name uncultured bacterium. Its description in RNAcentral is "partial 16S ribosomal RNA". It matches the Rfam family "Bacterial small subunit ribosomal RNA", at positions 524 to 777 of the family's 1533-position model. The record is from RNAcentral.